Non-coding RNA from Podarcis muralis (Common wall lizard), 2857 nucleotides. NCBI's taxonomy places the organism in Eukaryota, Metazoa, Chordata, Lepidosauria, Squamata, Lacertidae. The record is from RefSeq and is a predicted model, not a curated record.
GAUCGCCUACCCAAGGAAAACCACAUGACAAGCCUAGGCACAUGUUCUCCAUUAGAAACUGCUGGUUGUGUUAAGGAUGCAAGGUUGAAAAAUACAAGGUAAGAAAAGUCAGGCGGUUUUUUUUUAAAGAAAAGAAAAGAAAGAAAAAAGCAGCAUUCAUUGGCCCGGCAUGCGCUCCCCAGUGUGCUUGUUUUGGAUCAGCUUCCUGAAAUCCUUGGGAGGUUUCAAGAAAUGGCGAGCUGUGCUUUUCUGUCCUGCUUCGGAGGUUUCUCACUAGGCGAGGCUCCUCGACCCUUUUGGAGCUGGAGAGUUUUGUAAUCAAAAUGUUAACUUUGCGGCGGGGAUAGCACAGCUGCAGGAUAGAGAUCUCUCGACAAACGCUCAAGACCGACGCAUUUGGUGGACUACGCAAGGUGGCGCUUUGCAGUAGAAAUGUAAACCAAGAUCGAGGGAUCGGAUCUAAUAGAAUUGACUGAUAGGCACCCCCCUCCCCCAAAAGAGACUUUAAAAAACAAACAAACUAGUGAACCGAGGGCAGGUGCACAGGUAGAGCAAAGCGCACUAGCUCGACAUGUGGAAUCUCAAAAUCAGGGGAGGUCGUAACCCGAGUUCAUCCUUUGCUUGUGACUUUAUAGUAUGGUAGAGUUGGAAGAGACCCCGAGGGUCAUCUAGUCCAACCCGCUGCAGUGCAGGAAUCUCAGAUAAAGCAUCCAAGACAGAUGGCCAUCCCAUCUCCGCUUAAAAACCUCCUCCAAGGAAGAAAAGUCCACCGCUCCAGGAUGGUUUUCCCUGGAUUAACCCUCCUGGACGCGCAGUGCUGAUACCGGGGCCAUCAAUUCUGGCUUGCUUCAGCAUUGCCAUUCUGAACUGAAUACCAGAGAGAAGAGGCGCGUGACAGCCCGCAGCAGAGGCGGGGAACCUUUCUCAGCCCGAAGUCUGAGCCCCCUCCGGGGACAGUUUUCCGGGGGCCGCACGCCAGCGGUGUGUGGGGGCCAGAGGCAGAAAAAGUAGAUGGAGCAACGGAUGUGACUCUUAACCUUUGUACAGCAAGCUACGCGCCAGGCAAAAGUCAGAGGAUUCUUCCGCCCCCAGAUCUCUCCAUCCUACAGCAAGAUCGCAGCUGAAGCACCCGCCCUAGCCAGGCAAAAGUACUCGAAAGAGGCGGGGAGCAAGGCCCCUGAAGGGUGUGGCUUGGGGAACACCUUGAAGGCCGGAUUGAGAGGCUUGGAGGACCGCAUUCGGUCCUGUGCCUGAGGGUAAGAUUGAAGAGGCUGAUGUGAAAGAUCCCAGGCUUUGACAAUGGGCCUCCCUCCGCCCGCCUUUUGCCUCGCUGCUGAUAGAAGUCCUUGAAACUCCCCGCGAUGGAGCACCUUCCUCGUUCUUCCCUUGAACUACAAGCACAGUGUGUGCGUGAGAGGGAGACGGAUAUUAUGAGUGGAGAGAAGCCGUAACUGAAACCAGUGUGUGUGUGUGGUUGGGGAAUCCACAUUACGCAUUAUUUGGGCGUCUAGCAAGGCGCGGACAAUGCUGGAUGCUGCAACAACAAACCGGGGCUGCUGAAGGGCAGGAGAGCCGCGCGGCGUUUUGACGCGCCGAAAGGGGGCCCUGGAAAUGCCGCGGGAGAAGCAAGUUGCCGAUUCGCCGCCUUUGCAAGAGGCAAUUAGCCGAUUCAGACGUGCGCAUGCAUGUAAUGCGCGUUAAGGUCGAUUUAGUUCCUCUCGGUUAAACAGCAGCGCAUGGCUAAUUAAUGGGUGGAGAGGUCUUUUCCGAUGCCGGGCCUCGCUAAACAUCGGUGUUUACACAGUGCUCCUUUCAACAAAGUUUUCCCUGGUUGUAGCUCAGGGCAUUCAGGCGACCAUGCCGGUCGAUUCAUGCCUUCAACCAUCACGACCUCUUCGCCUGGGGAAUCAGUUAAGGUUCGGAAAUCCACUUAUUUAGGGAGAUUGUUUCGUGUUGCAAUCCUACUUACAUUCACCUUGGCAUAAGGUAGCAAGGCGUUCUUCCAACUAAACAUGGAUGCAGUCUGCCUGCACAGCUCCACUCUUUAAAGGAAUGAAGGGAAACCAAAGCUCUUGAGGAAAUACACACUUCUGUAACUGAAUAGAUAGAGAUAUAUAGAUUGUCAGCUUACAGCCUCUUUCCCCAGGGCUUACACUAAGCACACUUACUCCAAAGUAAAUGCCACAAAAAAGAAUGGGCGACGGAUCUCUGGGUGCUCCGCCUAGGAGGAGCCAGUCUCUGGUCACCAAAAGAGCCUCAGUUGGAGCUAAUUGGUAUAAAUAUCUGUACCAUAUAGACACAUGAUACAUAUUGCGUUCUGCAGCACUUAACACAGUCGCUAAAGUAGUCUGAUUGUGAAUAAUGUAAACAUGUCUUUGAAUCGGGCCUAGUAUGAAUAGUUAAGUUUACUCUUCCCCACCUUCCUAGAUCUUACAAAGUUCAUAAGAUCCCGUGUUCGGUUUACAAAUAUCCCUAACGACAAAGUUGUGCAGCUGGUGACAAAGGCAGCCAGAGCCUUUUGUCAGUUUCAUUUGCUUUAAAAAGAACAACAACGAACAAGAGAAAUAGCCAGGCUGCACAUUGAACUCCGUCGGACUUCUGAAUAAAACAGGCACAGAAGUGGGCUGCGCAACUUUUAUUUAAUUUUUAAACUAUUCAAAUAAACAAAGCUGCACCCAGGAAAUGGAGGAUUACAUUUUUGUUGCUAUUUUAGAUUUUCAAACUGUAUAAGCUGAAUUUAAAUAUUGGUUUAGGAUGCUGUUGGUGUUUAAAACUAUUCUGUUUUAACCCCUUUUUGAGGGCCUUUUAGUGGAAAAGCAGCCUCUAAAUUCAAUAAAUAAAUAAAUGCAAACCUGAA